GACGAACGCUGGCGGCGUGCUUAACACAUGCAAGUCGAGCGGUAAGGCCCUUUCGGGGGUACACGAGCGGCGAACGGGUGAGUAACACGUGGGUGACCUGCCCUUAGCUCUGGGAUAAGCCUGGGAAACUGGGUCUAAUACCGGAUAUGACUCCAUGACGCAUGUUGUGGGGUGGGAAGCCUUGUGCGGCUAGGGAUGGGCCCGCGGCCUAUCAGCUUGUUGGUGGGUGAUGGCCUACCAAGGCGACGACGGUAGCCGGCCUGAGAGGGCGACCGGCCACACUGGGACUGAGACACGGCCCAGACUCCUACGGGAGGCAGCAGUGGGGAAUCUUGCGCAGUGGGCGAAAGCCUGACGCAGCGACGCCGCGUGAGGGAUGACGGCCU
This 386-nucleotide ribosomal RNA is filed under the name uncultured bacterium. RNAcentral's name for it is "bacterial SSU rRNA". It matches the Rfam family "Bacterial small subunit ribosomal RNA", at positions 28 to 417 of the family's 1533-position model. The record is from RNAcentral.